This 433-nucleotide ribosomal RNA is filed under the name uncultured bacterium. Its description in RNAcentral is "partial 16S ribosomal RNA". It matches the Rfam family "Bacterial small subunit ribosomal RNA", at positions 29 to 507 of the family's 1533-position model. The record is from RNAcentral.
AACGAACGCUGGCGGCAUGCCUAACACAUGCAAGUCGAACGAGACCGUCGUGUCUAUUGGCGCACGGGUGCGUAACGCGGGGGAACCUGCCCUUAGGUUCGGAAUAACUCCCCGAAAGGUGUGCUAAUACCGGAGAAUGUCUUCGGACCAAAGAUUUAUCGCCUUUGGAUGGGCCCGCGUUGGAUUAGCUAGUUGGUAGGGUAAAAGCCUACCAAGGCGACGAUCCAUAGCUGGUCUGAGAGGAUGAUCAGCCACACUGGGACUGAGACACGGCCCAGACUCCUACGGGAGGCAGCAGUGGGGAGUAUUGGACAAUGGGCGAAAGCCUGAUCCAGCAAUGCCGCGUGAGUGAUGAAGGCCUUAGGAUUGUAAAGCUCUUUUACCCGGGAUGAUAGUGACGGUACCGGGAGAAUAAGCUCCGGCUAACUCCGUG